This 713-nucleotide ribosomal RNA is filed under the name mycorrhizal basidiomycete sp. I4. RNAcentral's name for it is "eukaryotic LSU rRNA". It matches the Rfam family "Eukaryotic large subunit ribosomal RNA", at positions 87 to 786 of the family's 3401-position model. The record is from RNAcentral. Lineage: Eukaryota; Fungi; Basidiomycota.
CGGCGAGUGAAGAGGGAAAAGCUCAAAUUUUGAAUCUGGUGUCUUUGGCGCCCGAGUUGUAAUCUAGAGAAGUGUUUUCCGCACCGGACCGUGCACAAGUUCCCUGGAACGGGGCGUCAUAGAGGGUGAGAAUCCCGUAUAUGGCACGGACUACCGGCGCUCUGCGAUACACUCUCAACGAGUCGAGUUGUUUGGGAAUGCAGCUCAAAAUGGGUGGUAAAUUCCAUCUAAAGCUAAAUAUUGGCGAGAGACCGAUAGCGAACAAGUACCGUGAGGGAAAGAUGAAAAGCACUUUGGAAAGAGAGUGAAACAGUACGUGAAAUUGUUGAAAGGGAAGCGUUUGAAGUCAGUCGCGUCUGGCGGGAUUCAGCCUGGCUUCUGCCUGGUGUACUUCCCGUCCGACGGGUCAGCAUCGGUUUCGACCGAGAGAAAAAGGCUUGGGGAAUGUGGCCGUCCUCGGGCGGUGUUAUAGCCCCUUGUUGUAUGUCUCGGUUGGGACCGAGGACCGCAGCGCGCCUUACGGCCGGGGAUCGCUCCCUCGGUACGCGCUUAGGAUGCUGGCAUAAUGGCUUUAAGCGACCCGUCUUGAAACACGGACCAAGGAGUCUAACAUGUGCGCGAGUGUUUGGGUGUCAAACCCGAGCGCGUAAUGAAAGUGAACGGUCGGGAUCACGUACGUGUGCACCGACGCCCGGAGCAGACCUUCUGUGACG